Homarus americanus (American lobster) is the source of this 416-nucleotide long non-coding RNA. RefSeq lists it as uncharacterized. Lineage: Eukaryota; Metazoa; Arthropoda; Malacostraca; Decapoda; Nephropidae. The record is from RefSeq and is a predicted model, not a curated record. The transcript is spliced from 3 exons.
CAUUGGGCCAAGUGAGACCAUUUCCCUCUGGUGGAUGCCACGAUGGGAGGAGGAUGUGUCGCAGUCCUCUGAUGAACAGUAAAGAGAAACAAAUGGCUCAAGAGGAACUGGACUACCCACUGUGCCACCAUACUGAAAAAUCAAUAAAACCCUAAAUAUGUUUGGCUAAUUUAGGUUUCUUGUCAAUUACAAGAAGUCCUAACUUAUGCCUCAAUAAAGAUUUGAGUGGCUGGAACACCAGAGAUUAAAAUAUGGGACUUCCUCUAACCAAGGAUACCAUAUGAAUAGUACAGGAAAGCACUGGAAAUACAGGAGGACCAGAGUCUUGUGUAACAAAAUGAAGCAAUAUACAAACCUUAUUGUGUCCAGGCAACUGGUCUCUGUCAACACUGUAGCAAUAAAAGGAUACGACAGUG